Molecule: transfer RNA, 77 nt
Filed under: Prolixibacter denitrificans
Lineage: Bacteria; Pseudomonadati; Bacteroidota; Bacteroidia; Marinilabiliales; Prolixibacteraceae
Also listed under: 2 other names
Description: tRNA-Ala
Rfam family: tRNA
About the family: Transfer RNA (tRNA) molecules are approximately 80 nucleotides in length. Their secondary structure includes four short double-helical elements and three loops (D, anti-codon, and T loops). Further hydrogen bonds mediate the characteristic L-shaped molecular structure. tRNAs have two regions of fundamental functional importance: the anti-codon, which is responsible for specific mRNA codon recognition, and the 3' end, to which the tRNAs corresponding amino acid is attached (by aminoacyl-tRNA synthetases). tRNAs cope with the degeneracy of the genetic code in two manners: having more than one tRNA (with a specific anti-codon) for a particular amino acid; and 'wobble' base-pairing, i.e. permitting non-standard base-pairing at the 3rd anti-codon position.
Source: RNAcentral
GGGGGCGUAGCUCAGUUGGCUAGAGCGUUUGACUGGCAGUCAAGAGGUCGCGGGUUCGAGCCCCGCCGUCUCCACCA